Molecule: ribosomal RNA, 466 nt
Filed under: uncultured bacterium
Lineage: Bacteria
Description: partial 16S ribosomal RNA
Rfam family: Bacterial small subunit ribosomal RNA
Source: RNAcentral
GACGAACGCUGGCGGCGUGCUUAACACAUGCAAGUCGAACGGAAAGGCCCUGCUUUUGUGGGGUGCUCGAGUGGCGAACGGGUGAGUAACACGUGAGUAACCUGCCCUUGACUUUGGGAUAACUUCAGGAAACUGGGGCUAAUACCGGAUAGGAGCUCCUGCUGCAUGGUGGGGGUUGGAAAGUUUCGGCGGUUGGGGAUGGACUCGCGGCUUAUCAGCUUGUUGGUGGGGUAGUGGCUUACCAAGGCUUUGACGGGUAGCCGGCCUGAGAGGGUGACCGGCCACAUUGGGACUGAGAUACGGCCCAGACUCCUACGGGAGGCAGCAGUGGGGAAUAUUGCACAAUGGGCGGAAGCCUGAUGCAGCAACGCCGCGUGCGGGAUGACGGCCUUCGGGGUGUAAACCGCUUUCGCCUGUGACGAAGCGUGAGUGACGGUAAUGGGUAAAGAAGCACCGGCUAACUACG